Molecule: ribosomal RNA, 429 nt
Filed under: Chloroflexota bacterium
Lineage: Bacteria; Bacillati; Chloroflexota
Description: Chloroflexi bacterium partial 16S ribosomal RNA
Rfam family: Bacterial small subunit ribosomal RNA
Source: RNAcentral
UGGGGAAUAUUGCACAAUGGGCGCAAGCCUGAUGCAGCCAUGCCGCGUGUAUGAAGAAGGCCUUCGGGUUGUAAAGUACUUUCAGCGGGGAGGAAGGGAGUAAAGUUAAUACCUUUACUCAUUGACGUUACCCGCAGAAGAAGCACCGGCUAACUCCGUGCCAGCAGCCGCGGUAAUACGGAGGGUGCAAGCAUUAAUCGGAAUUACUGGGCGUAAAGCGCACGCAGGCGGUUUGUUAAGUCAGAUGUGAAAUCCCCGGGCUCAACCUGGGAACUGCAUCUGAUACUGGCAAGCUUGAGUCUCGUAGAGGGGGGUAGAAUUCCAGGUGUAGCGGUGAAAUGCGUAGAGAUGUGGAGGAAUACCGGUGGCGAAGGCGGCCCCCUGGACAAAGACUGACGCUCAGGUGCGAAAGCGUGGGGAGCAAACAGG